UGACACCUGGCAGGGGAGACACCAUAAUCAAAAAUAUGGUUUUCCCAGGGUGAUUUCUUAUCCAUUACACUCCGGAUGGGCUGAGCCCUGCAAUUUACUCAAAUGUUGAAAACUUGACUGUGUAAUUUGUUGCAGUGAGUGCUGGUUCACGCUAUCCUCUGG
Sorex araneus (European shrew) is the source of this 162-nucleotide small nuclear RNA. Its record names the gene U1. It matches the Rfam family "U1 spliceosomal RNA". Rfam says of the family: U1 is a small nuclear RNA (snRNA) component of the spliceosome (involved in pre-mRNA splicing). Its 5' end forms complementary base pairs with the 5' splice junction, thus defining the 5' donor site of an intron. The record is from Ensembl. NCBI's taxonomy places the organism in Eukaryota, Metazoa, Chordata, Mammalia, Eulipotyphla, Soricidae.